Tupaia belangeri chinensis (Chinese tree shrew) is the source of this 378-nucleotide long non-coding RNA. RefSeq lists it as uncharacterized. The transcript is spliced from 3 exons. Lineage: Eukaryota; Metazoa; Chordata; Mammalia; Scandentia; Tupaiidae. The record is from RefSeq and is a predicted model, not a curated record.
AGUAGAAGGGAAUGAUUUCCAAUCUAGAAUUCUAUUUGUAGCCAAAUUAUUAAUUAAGUAGAGGGGGUCGCAAUAUAGAUGUUUCCAAACAUAUAAAGUCAAAAAAACAUUACCUCACAGGGCCAUUUCUCAGUCAGCUAUCAGAAGAUUUGUUCAACCAAAACAAAAGAAGAGAAAAUGGAAUCCAGGAAACAAGAUCUCAACUCAUGAGAAAGCAAAUAUCUGGAUUAAUGCAAGGACUGAGCUAUGAGAAGAUGCAUUCCAGACUGAAGGAGGAAGAAGUGCCCUGACACUGAACGGUGAUGAGUGUGCACAAAGUCAUCUGCAAAUGCUUCUCUCCCCACCCACUCUACACCCUUCCUGCAUUCCCUUACGACC